This 103-nucleotide microRNA precursor is filed under the name Marmota monax (woodchuck). Lineage: Eukaryota; Metazoa; Chordata; Mammalia; Rodentia; Sciuridae. The record is from RNAcentral.
AGAGGGAUAGCUGGGUCAAAUGGUGGUUCCAUUCCCAGAUUUCCAAGGAAUCUCCAUACUGUUUUCCAUAUUGACUGUACCAAUUUGCAGUCCCACCAGCAAU